Molecule: unclassified non-coding RNA, 4719 nt
Filed under: Leishmania donovani
Lineage: Eukaryota; Euglenozoa; Kinetoplastea; Trypanosomatida; Trypanosomatidae
Description: gene:LdHU3.17.1790(CDS-product:hypothetical_prote in_conserved)
Source: RNAcentral
CGCACGCUUUCAUCGUGCUUGUUGGAGGCGUACCGCCGGACAUACCUUCCAUACAGAUCCAUAGAUUGGCGUCGUGGCCUUGCCGCCUGUCGUGCCUCUCGACGGACUUGCUUCUCUGGCGCAGGGGUGGGGGCUGGCGAAUACGCAUGCACGUACUCACGAAUCGUAGACGCGGCCCUCUUCCACGAUCUCUCCUUGAUGCGGAGUGCCCUCUCGACAACGGGCACGAGACACCGGCACGCCCGGGGACCCACUAACACUACUCCCAUCACGCCACUACACAUGCCGCCCUCCAGGGUGCACCCUGACGUGAGAGCGAUGGUGGUUGUCGUGGACGUGGUCCGCCCUCUUGCGCAGGCGACAGUCUCCUCCUCGCCAACGACGGCCCUUGCGGUUGAGCGCCUCGAGAUCGACGUGGAUGUUGUACCCUUUAGCACAACGGCAGACGCGCUGCUCACGGAUGUGGCGGUGGCUCUGCAGGAGAUGCAGCUGACCAUGUGUGUUCCCCUGCAGGCGGCCGCGUUGGCAUCAGGGAGAGUGUUGCCUCCGGUAGCGUGGAUACAGGAAGCUGUGGUGGUCAGUGCCAGCAGUGGCUUAGACAGGUGGCAACGCUCAUCGACCCCGUUUCUCGGACGCCGCUACGCAGCAGCUGUGCAGCACGCACAGAACUCUGUAGACUCCCGCCAGAUGCCCGCUGCGGCGCCUGCGUUGUCGUCCUCGCUGGUGCUUCGCAUCGGGAGCGACUACGUCGUGGAAGACAUGACAGGGCAACUCAGCCCGCCAACUGCCGUCUGGUCGGUUGUGCCUCAGUCAAUGGAGGCUGCCAGCAGCAUUGCAGGCAAGCCGCCUGCACAGGCAGCACUACUUAUCACGUCCUCCCCCCAUCUGCUGACCCCAGACCGCGCGCCAGAGGGUGUCGCUGUGGAGGCACACGGCGCCCUGCACGCACCUCUUGCUGCUCUGCCGCCGCCCUCACGAGGCAGCGCUGCGACGAUGAUGCCCGCCUCCAGCCGCGUUCGUGGCGGCGAUCUGCUCCCUGGCUCUCAGCCCACCGUAGCCUCCGCCGCCGUGGAGAGAGCUGCCGCAGAUUUCAGCCAAGACGAGUGCUUGUCGAUGCCCUCCCUUACUGUCGGCUCCACCGCACCGCCACUGUCGCCACCGCCACCUCUCCCGCAGCAGCAGUCACCGACACGUGCCGUAUCCCUCAAAGAUGCCGACGCGGUCGCCUUCGGCCACCUGCAGGCCCACCAGGCACAGAUACUGAAUCAUGACACUCAACGCUGCGACGACUCGCCCAACGCCAGCACCUCCGUUGCCGCCCCUGCGGAGGAGCAGAGGCGCCUUCAGCGCACUCUUUCCUGGGCCGCGGCCGAGACUGCCGUACAGGCGGAGGUGGAGCGUCUGCAGGCAGAGCACGUGCUCACCGGAGAGCAGGGAGAAGGAGGGGCAGCGACAGCGACGAGAAGGGGCGCUGGCGCGAAUUUCAAUGAUGCCGCCAGCGGCGAUACACACGAAGGGACGGCAAUACACACAGCAGGACGGCGGGACGGCGGCUCUGCCUCCGACACAUUUUCUCCACCGCGACUGCGAGCGCAGUCGCUUGCGGCACUCAGAGAGGAGAUCGGUGCCUAUGAGCGCGAAGCAGCGACGCUGCGCCGGGCAACGGAGAAGGCACGGCAGUGGCGAGAGUCGACGAAGCAGCAGUUGUGCGAGGAGGUCGCACGGCUGGAGAGAGAAGCAGUCCAGCGGAGUGCGGCGCUGGCAGAGCGCGACGUGCUGCGGCGCCGAGUGGAGCAACUGGAGGUGCAGGUGGCUGCUGCGAAGGCGAUAGAGGUGGCGCUGCUUGUGACGCAGGGGACCGCAGCCGUGCUUCCACCAGCGUCAGCAGAUGCCCAGCGAGCAAAGAGAGAUUGCCGAGCCAUAGGCGGUUCUGCCAAGUCGCACCGGCCGUGUGUGACAGCGGCGAUCACGAUGCCGGCCCUCGAGUGUUUCAGUGACAAUUCCGCAUCGGAGCAUGGCGACUCCUCCGAGCACUCGUCGCCAACACCGCCACCUGCGCCAGCGUUGCCGCCGCCGUCACAGGCCUGCCGAUUGGCGCCUCGCGUGAACGGACAUGCUGCGGAAUCCGGUAUGGGUGCGCAUCGCUGGUCUGGUAGGCGUGUUUCUCUUACCCAUUGCGACAGGGCAGCAGCGCCAACGACAAGCACUGCAUAUUUGCUGCCUGAGGCACAACGGCAGCCCUCGCACAGUCGGAGCGGGCUCGGUAUCGAGAGAAGCUUCCUAUCACCAUCCCUUGAGGCCGAGGUGCGGGCAGCGCUGGAUAGCGACGACGACGACGCCGGCUCGUCCGUUACAGACAACCGCAAAAACGGCACGGCGAGUGCAGAGGCAACGACCGGAGGUGGUAGCGCGUGUGGCUGUGACACGAUAGCGGGGAAGGGUGCGGAGGCGGCGCGGCAGCCACCUGCGGUGGGGACGCGGGGGCGAAGGCAGUGAUCGACUGCCACCGCGAGUCGCACUGCAGGCGACGCUUCAUUCGAGCUGCUCACGGCUUCUUGGAUGACUGUGGAUGCCGCUGCUCCUGCUGCGGCUUGUGCUGCCGUCGGGGCAACUCCAUUCCGUAGGGCCGUCAGGACCGCCUCCUCGCCUUACCCCGCCAGCCCCUCUGCGACGUCUCCACAUCCGCACCGGGCGGGUGCAGCAGCGCUCGCCUUCCUGCCUUGUUCCAGUGGAGGUGGCGAAGGCGCCACGCGGCACGGAAUCGGCGCCUAUCGGCAACCGCGGAGAGGAAUGGCAAAGGUGACAGCGGCUGCCUCUGUUGCUGAGUGCAGCGCCACUGCUGUCCAUCUCGGACUCACAGACAGGCACCUUGCCCGUAUCGCUCUCGGCCACGGUGACGUGACGUCGCUGCCGAUGGACGUGUCGAGUGUGCGUGACAGCAGCCGCCGCAGUCCUAGUAGGGGGCGGGCCGCCGUCACGACGGCUGGGGCAUGGCUACCUGUUCCCGUCGUGGCGCACCACCUCUUCCUCCUAGGAGGGGCGAUCGCGGCGCUUCCAGAGGGCUUACCCACAUUCUCCUGCCACCCAGACAACGAUGCGACGACUCUCUCUCGUUCACUUUGCAUGUGCGUGUGUGCGUGUGUGCGUGUGCGCGUGUGCGCGUGUGUGCGUGUGUGCGUGUGUGCGUGUGUGCGUGUGUGCGUGUGUGCGUGUGUGCGUGUGCGUGUGUGUGCGUGUGCGCGUGUGUGCGUGUGUGCGUGUGCGCGUGUGUGCGUGUGUGCGUGUGUGCGUGUGUGCGUGUGUGCGUGUGUGCGUGUGUGCGUGUGUGCGUGUGUGCGUGUGCGCGUGUGUGCGUGUGCGUGUGUGCGUGUGCGCGUGUGUGCGUGUGUGCGUGUGUGCGUGUGCGCGUGUGUGCGUGUGUGCGUGUGUGCGUGUGCGCGUGUGUGCGUGUGCGCGUGUGUGCGUGUGUGCGUGUGCGCGUGUGUGCGUGUGUGCGUGUGUGCGUGUGUGCGUGUGUGCGUGUGUGCGUGUGUGCGUGUGUGCGUGUGUGCGUGUGUGCGUGUGUGCGUGUGUGCGUGUGUGCGUGUGUGCGUGUGCGCGUGUGUGCGUGUGCGCGUGUGUGCGUGUGUGCGUGUGUGCGUGUGCGCGUGUGUGCGUGUGUGCGUGUGUGCGUGUGUGCGUGUGUGCGUGUGUCGGCGUCCGCUCAGUGUCGGGCGCCCACACGGAGAACAGUACUCGGGCGCUUUAUGCGGCGCGCGUUACACUUUCAACGGUUGUGCAGCCACGCGCCCCCUCCAAGCGCAUUCUCCCGUGCGCGGACAAGGAUGUCUCGAGCACGUCGCGGCCCGAGUUGAGGUGAAUGCCACUACAAAAACUCUAGAACACACCCACAACGACCUCAAUCAGCGAUGAACGGUAACCACCGCUACCGUGAGUCUUGCGUUGGGUUGCCACCGUCGCCCUGUGACGCACGCUGCCGCAGCACCAUUUCUUCUCUCCUGUGCAUGGAGGAGGCCGCAUGCUGGCGCGGCGCCGCAUAGAGUGCGCUUGCCCACGGAUGCACGUGCGACCAGCGAUAUGCAUCUCGCCGGGUUAUUUCUCUUCUUCCACUCUCAUGGACUUGGCAGCCUUUCCUUUCCCUUUUUCGCUCCGGUCGAGAUGCUACAACUGCUGCCAUCAUUCUCGUCGGACGGUACGCCCCCCUCCCCUCCUACCACCACCACAACUGCGCUGCACAGAAGGAGCAUUGGCUUCGGUGAGGUGGUGUGCAGAGGGCGGAUCUGUUACGCUUCCUCUUGUUUUUUUUUUUUUCUGCUGAGGUGGGUGUGGGAGUAACGCGUGCGUAUGCGCUUCCAUUUCUCCUCUCCAGCACGUCUGCCCCGCGCUCCGGCCACGACGAUGGCUAUCCGCUCCUUACCUCUCCUCGGCUGCACCAGUGAGCGUUUCGCCUGUGUGUGUGCGGCGUCUCCGCUAGCUCUUUCUGGCGGCUCUCGGCCGCGGCGUAAGUGCGUGCGUGUCCUGCGUGCCAGCCUUCUCUCCUUCAAGUUGGGGAGGCUGCAAGCCGGCUCUACGGCCUCGUCUGUGCAUUCGAAGUGCACCCCCCCCCCCCCCGCUUCCCCCUCGCGCCAGCCGGGCGACGUCGCAAGGCGUUUGGCGACAUCGCCCUAUAACCGGUUAGACGGUGGGGAUGGAGCCCCCCUCUCCAUCAACACAACAGGC